GCUCAGUGUUUGCAUCAAUGAAGAUGGCUGCCGCAUUUCCCACGGUAUCUGAAAACUUUCAGUGGCUCUUAGUGCAGAAAGAAGCUCCUUUUGUAUCAUAUCAACGUUGAUUUUAUUUCUAAAUGUCUUAUGGAGUGAUGUGGAGGUGCCGGUGUUGGACUGGGGUGGACAAGGUCAGAAAUCAGGAGCCUGCAGUGUGGAAAUGAGCUCCUGACAUUGCCUUUACGUGCUUUGGGAGUUCUGUGGUAUUGAAAAGUGAUCUAAAGGUUCAGAAUAUAUGCAGCUCCACUAUUCCACUCGUCUACUAACGGACCUCAAUCAAUCCUAUCUCAGGACCUGUACCACAUGUGACAUGUUGCAUCUCCUGCAAAUGGGAAGAAAAGAGGAUGGAAUGCUUCUCCUGUCAGGUUAUUUUCCAACUUAAACGCACAGACUUACUCUCUCGACGUGGAGCUCAACAUCUUGCUGGGAACAACUCUCUAUCUUUUGUUCCACCUUCCUCACUAUACCUUCCACGUCCACUAUACUCUCUUUACUGAUGCUAUGUAAAAGAAAAGAAAAUCAGUAUUUAUGAUCCAUAAUUCCACAGCAUAUACAAAUAUAAGUACAACUUUAUAGUGCAAUAGUAAAAUAUUGCAAGUUAAUUUUGAACAGGCACAACACAUGCUACAAAUAAAAAUCUAACACUAUGGUUCAAAUCUUUGAAUCGUUUGUGGUGUGUUCAACCUGUGGAAAGGCACUGAAUGAACUGCUCCAGAGUUUUCCUUAACUUAGAAAGCCCUUGUACCAGCUCCUACAAAACCAGAUCUUAUUUCCUGUGCUUUCUGAUGAUGUUGAGCUUAUUACAUGGCUUAAAAAUGCUAAUAAUUUCAGAGGCAUCCUUGGAAUGGACGAGACAAAAAUGCAGAUUCCACCACAGCAGUUGGAAUAAUCUAAAACAAUCACCAUUCUAAACAAAACAAUGCACAAAAGUAGUCAAAGUGUAGAGCUGGAUGAACACAGCAGGCCAGGCAGCAUCAGAGGAGCAGGAAAGCUGACGUUUCGGGUCUGGACCCUUUUUCAGAAAAAAGUUCCUACUAUCCCCCACAAAAGUAGUCAAGGUAUCCCAUGUCGCAAAGUUAACUGAUUCCUAAAGGAAAUAUUUGUCAAAAAUUAAUCAGUUUUAGCUUGGAUCACAUCCCAUCUGUGUACCAAAUUCCACUGAAACUUUUGAGAUGUAUUGAGUAGUCAGAUAGAUUUUCAAGACAAAGACAUUACCUCCACUUCACAUUCCGUGGCAGAGGUAACAAGACAAUUUAGCUCAUUUUCUCUUUGGUGGAAUAAUGCAAGUGUUCUCAAAGCCCCACAGUUUUUCCCCUUUCAAACACUUAUGUUAUUCCUUCUUGAAAGUCAAAAUUGGAUAUGCUUCCAUCACCCUUUCAGAAACUGCAUUCCAGAUCUCAUCUUUUUACAUUAAAAAUUUAUUCCCUUGUCACUACUGCUAUCAGGUAGCUGAAAGGCUAAUGUUCACAUUCACAUGAAUAAUACAAAUAAUUUAACCUUUGUUAAAACUGUCUAACUCAUCCUCAAAUAAAUUUAACUACACUUGAGAAAAGAUGAUUCCAUAUGAUAAUGACCGUCUUUAGAGACAAGAAGAAAUUUUUCUGAAAGAGUAGUGAAUCUAUGGAAGUCUUACCCACACAGGCUGUCAAAGCUAGUUUGUUAAGCAUAUUCAAGGCUGAGAUGGACAGAUUUUUAAUCAAUAAGGGAAUCAAGGAUUGUGGGGAUAAGGCUGGAGAAUGGAAUUCAAGAUUAUCAAAUCAAUAUGAUCUCUUUGAAUAGCGGAGAUGGUUUGACAGACUGAAUGGCCUAUUUCUGUUCCUAUGUCUAAUGGUAUCUGCGAGAAAACAUUUCUCUCCAUUUGUCUUAAAAGUUAUGUCCCUUAUUUUUAUUCUAUGUAAAACAAAACAUCUGUUUCAAUAAGAUCAGCUUUCAUUCUUCAUGGGGGAUCUCUUAAAGAUAUAUCAACUUCCGUUUAAAAAGACACAAAACCUAGAAUUUUGAUGUUGAGUCUGGAACAGUUUAACAUCAUUUGCUAUGUUUC
Molecule: long non-coding RNA, 2083 nt
Organism: Rhincodon typus (whale shark)
Lineage: Eukaryota; Metazoa; Chordata; Chondrichthyes; Orectolobiformes; Rhincodontidae
Exons: 4
Source: RefSeq, a predicted model, not a curated record